AUUGAACGCUGGCGGCAGGCCUAGCACAUGCAAGUCGAGCGGAAACGAGUUAUCAGAAGCUUCGGUGGAUGAUAACGGCGUCGAGCGGCGGACGGGUGAGUAAUGCCUGGGAAUAUGCCUUGAUGUGGGGGAUAACUAUUGGAAACGAUAGCUAAUACCGCAUAAUCUCUACGGAGCAAAGAGGGGGACCUUCGGGCCUCUCGCGUCAAGAUUAGCCCAGGUGGGAUUAGCUAGUUGGUGAGGUAAGGGCUCACCAAGGCACGAUCCCUAGCUGGUCUGAGAGGAUGAUCAGCCACACUGGAACUGAGACACGGUCCAGACUCCUACGGGAGGCAGCAGUGGGGAUAUUGCACAAUGGGCGCAAGCCUGAUGCAGCCAUGCCG
RNAcentral lists this ribosomal RNA (383 nucleotides) under uncultured Gammaproteobacteria bacterium. RNAcentral's name for it is "bacterial SSU rRNA". It matches the Rfam family "Bacterial small subunit ribosomal RNA", at positions 30 to 399 of the family's 1533-position model. The record is from RNAcentral. Lineage: Bacteria; Pseudomonadati; Pseudomonadota; Gammaproteobacteria.